This 1749-nucleotide long non-coding RNA is filed under the name Sus scrofa (pig). RNAcentral's name for it is "lncRNA (ENSSSCG00030029671.1)". Lineage: Eukaryota; Metazoa; Chordata; Mammalia; Artiodactyla; Suidae. The record is from RNAcentral.
GCAUCAAGCAAGGAAAGCUUUGUGAAGGCCCAGAUCUUGAUGGAUUUUGUUCACUGCCGGAUUCCCACUGUCCCACACCGUAUGUGGCACAGAGUAUAUAAUCAAAAAUUAUUUGUUGAAUGAUUGCAUGGAUACGUUCUCAGGGGUGGAACAGAGAAAGACUUCAUCUCACCCCAACUCUCACCUCCAGCUAGAUACGUGCAUUCUUACAAUAAAGCCAUCAGCUACCUCAGGAAGGAAAGUAUUUUUCUUGAAAUACGGUAAAGGCUUCUCAACAACUAGCCCCACUACGUUGAAAACUUUCACACUGUCAGUAUGUGCACUAUGGAGUUUGCUCUUAAUUGAGAGUUUGAUUGUUAACUGGUGCAGUUUACAAGCUCAAUUUCUUUCUACAUAUUCUGGAUCACCAUGUUUCUAAAAUUUAAAGAAAUAUUUUUUCCUUCUUACGACUGCACCAUAUGGAAUUUUCCAGGCCAGGGGUCAAAUCAGAGCUGCAGCUGAGGCCUACGCCAGAGCGGUGCUGCCUCUGCAACCUACACAGCAGCCUCAGCAAUGCCAGAUCUUUAACCCCCUGAGAGAGGCCAGGGAUUGAACCUGAAUCCUCAUGGAGACUACAUGGAGUCCUGUACUCAUUGAACCACAAUGAGAACUCCAAAAAAAUUUUUUUAAGUUUUUUUGGUUUGUUUGUUUUGUCUUUAAUCCAUUUUGAGUUUAUUUUUGUGUUAGAUAAUGUUUGAAUUUCAUUCUUUUACAUGUAGCUGUCCAGUUUCCCCAGCACCACACACUGAAAAGACUAUCUUUCCUCCACUGUAUGUGCCUGCCUCCUUUGUCAUAGAUUAGUACUUGGGUUUAUGUCUGGGCUUUCUAUCCUGUUCCAUUGAUCUAGAUUUCUGUUUCUGUGCCAGUACUGUUUUGAUAACUGCAGGUUUGUAGUAUAGUCUGAAGUCAGGAAGCCAGAUUCCUCCAGUUCCAUUUUUCUUUUUCAAUAUUGCUUUGGCUAUUCAGGAUCAAACCCACGUCAUCAAGGAUACUAUGUCAGGUUCUUAACCCACUGAGCCACAGAUUAUUUUCCAUUAUAGGCUAUUAGAAGAAUUGGGUAUAGUUUCCCCUGCUAUACCAUAGAAUCUUGUUGUUUACCUAUUUUAUAUAUAGUAGUGUGUAUAUUUUAAUCCUAAAGUUUCUAAUUUAUACUCCCCCACCAGUAUAAAUUGGUAGCCAUAAAUUUGUUUCCUGUGUCUCAUAGGAUUUUUAUGAAGAAUAAAUUAAUACAUGUAUUUCUUUUUGCAUACUACUUCGAAUGUAGUUAGAACUCCAUGAUUCUGGCUAUCAUGAAGGUACUAAGUCAUAAAUAAAUAGUAAAAUUCACCAUGGUUUGGAAAGAUACAACUACGGAAAUUAACGGCCAUGUAUCUAAGACAAAAAAAAAAAAAAAAAAAAAAAAGCCAAACUCAUAUUAACAGAGAGUAGAACGGUGUUUUCCAGAGGCUGGGUUUAUAUUCCACAUUUUACACAUAAGGUAACAGAGAAGUGAUUUGCCUAAGGUCACAGACCUGGUUGGGUUGGAGCCAAUAUUUAUGGGCUGUGAAGGGAAAAAGAGAGAUUUGAUUUCUUUUUAAAGUUACUAUGGUGGUUUCCACCGGGAAGAGGAGGUCUUGGGGAGUUGCUUCAUGGAUGUAGAAUUUCAGUUUUGCAGGAUGAAAAGAGUUCUGGGGAUGGAUGGUGCUGACGGUGGCACAAUAUGAAUGUACU